GAUGAACGCUGGCGGCGUGCCUAAUACAUGCAAGUCGAGCGAACGGACGAGAAGCUUGCUUCUCUGAUGUUAGCGGCGGACGGGUGAGUAACACGUGGAUAACCUACCUAUAAGACUGGGAUAACUUCGGGAAACCGGAGCUAAUCCCGGAUAAUAUUUUGAACCGCAUGGUUCAAAAGUGAAAGACGGUCUUGCUGUCACUUAUAGCUGGAUCCGCGCUGCAUUAGCUAGUUGGUAAGGUAACGGCUUACCAAGGCAACGAUGCAUAGCCGACCUGAGAGGGGGGUCGGCCGCACUGGAACUGAGACAGGGUCCAGACUCCUACGAGAGGCAGCAGUAGGGUAUCUGCCGCAAUGGGCGAAAGCCUGACGGAGCAACGCGGCGUGAGUGGUGAAGGUCUUCGGAGCGUAAAACUCGGUUAUUAGGGAAAAACAUAUGUGUAAGUAAAUGUGCAGAGCGUGACGGUACCGAAUCAAAAAGCCACGGCUAACUACGUG
This 497-nucleotide ribosomal RNA is filed under the name uncultured bacterium. RNAcentral's name for it is "partial 16S ribosomal RNA". It matches the Rfam family "Bacterial small subunit ribosomal RNA", at positions 28 to 507 of the family's 1533-position model. The record is from RNAcentral.